This 16357-nucleotide long non-coding RNA is filed under the name Musa acuminata (dwarf banana). Its description in RNAcentral is "long non-coding RNA (MACU_LNC003245)". Lineage: Eukaryota; Viridiplantae; Streptophyta; Magnoliopsida; Zingiberales; Musaceae. The record is from RNAcentral.
CAAGAUAAUAGUAUGCCAGAUGUAUCUGGUUCUCGGAUUUUGAUGCAGAAAACUUCAUUUAGUUGUCGAAGACCUCCAGUUCGUCUUGCAGAUAUUCCUGUCAAUUUUCCGCAAGAAGAUAAUAAUGCCAUCCCGAAGGUUGCAAUCAAGCAAAGGCCUCAGAAGCACUCACAAAUUAUGAGCAAUGCAAAUACUCAGUCCUAUAAGACUAAUCGUCAAAAAAGCGUUGAAGAAAGAAAAGAAGAGUAUAACAGGGCACGUGCACGCAUAUUCAACAGCAAUGAUAUGAGUAGCACAAUUUCAUAUUCAAAGGAUGAAGUAAAAUUGCCAGAUAUCCUACAAGACUGCUCUAUAUCUGCGAGGUCAGAUGAAAAAACUGCAAUAGAAGGAUCUGAAAAAAAUCUUGGGAGGAGUUUUAGCGAUUCUUCUUCAGGUAAUAGCAUAUUAAAUAGAACUAAGAUAGAGAAAGAGCCCAUUGUUAGCAGACACAAAACAAACAAUAGAGUAGCCAUUUUUCGGGACCGCGAGGUGGAUAGCAAGGAUCCUGACUAUGACAGAAGUUAUGACAGGUGUGUUCACCUUUCAUCAUUCCUCUCACCUUUCAUCAUUCCUCUCAAUAACCAAGAAAGUCAUUGUCUAUACUGCAUAUUGUCAUCGAGAAAGAGGGUUUUUAAGAAAUUUUCAGGUUCUCAAAAUUAUAACUUGCUGUUUUAUUGAAGAAACAGUUUGUCAGCUGGAUUCCAUGUGCCUUUUUUUCUUGGGUGUAGUAUUUUAUGUGGUUGCUAUCUUUGAAUCUAGUUCUUUUAACAAAGAAAUAUGGUAAUUCUUCUAAUUUGACAUUGUUAUACCAAAUUGCAAGAAUUGUUUAAAACUUGAUUACCAGAUAGCUUUACUUUUCCCCCUAAACUUUAAAUUCUAGCAGCAGCUUGGUAGAACAUAAUUGUAACUUUUUAAAGACAAUUUUACCAGUAAUAAUAAUCAUUUCAAAUAAAGCUCGGAUUAGUAUGUACCAACAGGCGUUUAUUGGUCCAAUAAUGGAUAGUUACUGGACCAUAUAACUUGGUACUGAUUAAUAUUUGCUUUAUAUUAUUAUUGUUUGGUGAUAUAAGGCUGUGUAUGUCAUUAUAGCAUCAUAUAUACUAAUGUUGUACCGGUCCAACAGUUUGUCAAGAACCGCAGUCAAAUAGGCAUUUUAAAAACCUUGGUUAUGAUAAUGUACUUUAUCCAAUACUGGGUUGUUUAUCCAAUCACAAAAUGACUUGCUAAUAUUCUAGAUAAAGCUUUAAUUUGUGAGCUCUAUAUUCAUGUUGCAUAUUCUUGUAUCCGCUGAUCAUUUGGUUUACUGUAUCUACUUUCAGGUACAUGCAAAGAUUUGAACCUGGGUUUGGAUUCAACAGUGGACCGGGCACCAUACAGCCACUAUAUUCCCCUGCUGUUAAUUACAAUACUGAAUUCCCACAACUUGGAUCAGGUCAUGGUGCUCAAUUUCCUGUUGACCACCAACCUCAGCCUAUUCCUCAGCAUCUGCAUGGACCUUGGUUAUCGCCUUCAGCACCUAAUGUGAUCAACUAUGGUCCUCCAGCAGGCAUGAUGCCAACAUAUAAUUCCAAUCAUGUUCAUGCUCAUUCCACGACAUCAGUUUACAUGCACUCGUCUCAAUAUUCUGUGCCUCCAUAUCCUGGAAUGUCUUUUGCUCAUCCUAAUGGACACAUUCAAUCUUUUGUGCAGGUUCUCUUCCUCUUUCCAUCUUUGUCAUUUCUUCCACACCUCAUUAUUUUCAAUUUUAUGCAAUUUAAUUGAUAAUUUACAUAUUUGUUUUUAUCAAUGCAUGGCCUCUGAUGAUGUGAAAUUAUUCUCUCUAUCCUGCUUGUGCAAUUUUUUUAAUACAAUGUAGUUUGGGCAUGUGUUCCCUACACAUGCCACAUAAGCUGUUAUUAUAUCUUUUAACAUUAGUGUUCUGUUAUUGUGAUACAUAAUGAUAUUGAUACUCAAUACAUUGGUAACUUUAUUUUAGAAUAAUUGAUCCAGCAAAAAAAAAAAGAGAGAAUGUCUUAGAUAAAGAGCUCUAUCUCAUUAAAGGUGGAUGUUUUAAGAUUACAAUGAAAGAUUGAUGUGUUUUGGUCAUCAUGUGGUCUCAAUUUGUUAUAUCCCAGACGUGCAGACAUUAGGUUCUCGGUGGAUGAUGUAGUUAAUCUUGGCUAUUCUUUAGUCAAGAGUAUGGUGUCUGAUUUUAUUCUGAAUUUUUUCAUUAAAAAAAUUAAAUUUAAAAAUCAGUCGGUUUCUUUCCCUCUAAUGAAAAGACUGCUAAGACAUUUGCUUGAACCUUGUAGCUGCUUUUGGAUGCCAAGCUAAGUUAUUUGUUUUCUUUUUCCCAAGCUCUUUGUCAUCUGGAAUCCCUUCUAUGUAGAUUUCAUGUUUCUUUUGUCUAAUGCUGCGUUUCUUUUUUGCAGACUCACCAGCAGCUACCUGACACGAGUUUUGGAUUAGCCCGGCCCCGUUGAGGGGCCUGGGCAUGCCUGCACCUGCCAGCAGGAGCUUUGAGUUCGAUAAUGUGAUGAUGCCACAGUUCCUGGCAUCAGUGAUUUGCUGGCAGGAAAAUAGCAGGCAAAAUGGACCGAGGAUGGCCAGGACAGUGUGUCAUAAGUCAAACUUAGCAGUUUCUGGCUUGCUCGGAUUUGUUGAUGCUUUCUGCAUGUCAGAUGAUGAAAAAGCAUGUAGUUUCCGAUGUUCUCUACUCUUGCGCAGGCUACAGACAAUCCGAUUUGAUGGCACUGAAACUGAACGGAAAGCAAUCAUAUGGGAUGUAAUUAGCUCGUUAGGAUGAGGGUUUGAUGUCAACAAGAUCUCUAAGAUGAUCGUCAUGAAUUUUUUCUGCAGAAGUACCAUGACUGGCAUCUCCCUUAGACAAUCCUUACUUUUGGAGGAAGGAUGCUCUUCAUGUAGUGAAAUUAAGUCAAUUCAAAGUAGACACAACACAGUGUUCUGCUUAUCAAGGUAUGGUGUUUGAUGACCAAGUUUUACCAUUUUAACCCAGUAUUUGUUCUGUCAAAUAUUUUAUUGUAUAUCUUGGUUAUAUUGUUUGUCUGAUGUUGUCAUUGUGAGUUGUUUCCUUCUAUUGUUAUUGAUUUAUAUCAACAGCACUGGGAAGGAUGCGGUUUUCUUUUCUCCAGUAAUUUGAUGCUAUUGUGGAUGUUUUUACGGAUGCUGUGCUGAAUACUUCAAACAUGCUUUUUUUUCCUUUGCUGCCAGAAUAUGUACUGAUAAGUUGUAGACAGAAAUAGGCUUCUCAUGUGGAUAUUCCAUCUAGAGGAUAAUGUAUGUAAGUAACCUUUCUAGAUGUACAUUUACUAAUGUAUUCGAGUAAAUGUAUGAUGUUUAUGUGACAUGAUAUUGGAGAAGUUCUCAAAUUUCAGUACUCUUUGGAACUGUCUAUUUUCAUGGGCUUGCUAAUUAUGUGAUCUUUUGUGCAGGAAUCAAAUCGAGAUGGCUGCCUCAACCAGAAAGGUCUUUGUUGCAUCUGUGAGAGCUCACACCAGAAACCAGAAAGCAGCAAAAUCCACUUCAUUUCCUCUUCCUCAAGGUCAGCCAUUCUUUCCAUUGUUUUCUCAAUUCCGGUGGUUAUUCUGAAGAUUUAGUUUGCAAUUGUGUAGGACUUGAGGUUUUUUCUGAAACAGUUUUCUUAUUUAGGAGUUCUUUGAAAAAGAAUUGUAGCAUGUUGGAUAUUGUGUUGAUCUGCUUUUUAGAAGGAAGAUCAAAGGAACUAAUAUUGAAGAUAAAAGCUAUAAAAAAGUGAUCUUUUAAAGGAAGAAACCAGAAAAGCUAAUCUGGAGAUUAAAAAAAGCACAAAAAUUUUGUUCUUCUAGGAAUAUUUGAUAGAUAUUCAGCAAUAUAUAUAUACACACACACUGCUGCAUUUUACUGGAACCUUGCUAGAUGUGGCAAAGAGAACCACAGUUACUGUGCUUUCUUCCAUCAGAGUUCAGUUAUUGGGUACUUGUGGUCAAGGUUUGACUUACCGGUUCGAGCCGGUAUGUCGACUGGCCGACAGCACGGCCUGUGCUGCUCCGUACCGGUGUACCGACACAUGGUACAUCAGUGUGUACCAAUGUUUCAAUGAGGAAGAAAGAGGUUGAAGAGGAAGGUCCAGUGGAUGAAUAGAGGAGGAAGAAGGGGAAAGGAAGAGGAAGAAAGAAAAGGAGGAGAAGUGCAGCGAUACGUGGGAAGCAGUGACAGCGUCGAAGGGAAGCAGUAGCAUCACAAUGGCACAGAGGCGGUGCUGCUGCAGCAUCGCAAUGGCGAAGAGGUAGCACUGUUGCAGCGUUGCAGCAGCGAAGCGAUGAAGAGGCAGCGCUGCUGCAACGGCGAAGUGGCGAAGAGGCAGCGCACGCUGCAGCAUCACAGCGGUGAAUACACAGUGCCUUGGCUUCGUACACGAGAAGAGCUCUAAUAUGUUUUUUUAAAGCUGAAAUGGAUUGGGGUCCACUACUUUUUAUUUUUUUAUUAUUUUAAUGCAAAUUGCCCGAAACGGGUUGGUCCGCACAUCUGUCCAUGCCUGGACAGGUAUGUACCAUCCAAACCAUACCGUUUCAGGCAGUACAGCAAUCCUUGCUUCUGGUAGUAUUUGAUGAUCAUUAUUAGUGGGUCGUAUGUUCUCAAGUAGGCAAGUUCAAAUAGGUAAAAUGGUAAAAUCCAUAUUUAUGGAUUAAGUCAUCCUGUUGCACCUGGCUAAUGGGGUUAGUGCAUGGUAUGUUCAUCCUAGUUCCUACAAGUUGAUAUAAGAGAUAUUCCCUUGUAUAUCCUCUUAUAUUUGAUUGUUACAUACUCGGAGGACAAAAGCAUGUCUCACAAAACUUCUGCAAAUUUACAAGUUAAUUAGCUAUUAUAGUAGGCUAAGCUCAAUUAUAGAGGAUGAGUUUUGAUUUGGCCACGUUAUUAUUGGCUCGGUGGAUGUUAAAGAUGUGUAUCAUUGCACAUCAAUUAUAUGGAAGUUACAGGAAGAGUGCAGAACCACAAAAAUAGAAGGAAAAAGGAAGUUUGAGAUGGAUAUCUAUCUAUAUCUUGUUCUUUUAGCAUCUUCUUAGUCUUCUUCUAGUCACGUGACCUCUUUAGAUUCAUUUUAUGUUUCGGUCUAGUAUUAUUUUUUGUAGAAGACUUAGAAAAAGAGUUUGAUAAUUUUUUUUUGUACUUCAAAAGUUUUUGGUCAGAGUUCAGUCAUUAGAAGUUCAUAACCAUGUUAAUUGGCCUAUUUUGGCUUUUUAGAUCAGUCUCAAACUUUCAUCAUGUUGGCCUAUAGUUGCAUGGUAUGCUGUUGUCUGUCAACGGAUUUCUAAUUAUACAGACAACAGAUUUCUGCAAAAGGAGUUGUCUGUCAGCUCUUGACAUUGGUAGUAUAUGUAUGGUAAUAAUCGGUGGUUUUCUAAAAUUAAAAAAAAUGUGCCUUAUUAGAGCAUAGAUUUUGUCAAGAAGCCAAUUGAUGAAUCUGAACAGAGUUCCUCAGCUCUUUGGCAAUUGCUUUUACAUAUUUCCUUGAUUAUAUAAAAAAGUGUCCAUUGGUCAAUCUCAUUCAUAUGUGGUUGUCACUACUGACUAAUACCCGAGUGUUUCUUAAAUAACUGUGCUGUUUAGUGAUUUUGUAUUUUUGCUUAAUUCAGACAUUGCUUGUAUUUUUAUUACAGGCAUUCAUACAAAUUUAGUGCAUAUAAUAAUCAGUCCUUUUAACUCACUUUCCUACAUAAAGGGCAGUCGAAAUGCUUCUCAUUUGAUUUGUGAUUUACUAGUUACUUCUGAAUCUUUCUGGAAUUUAUCAUUAAGAAACCUUAACUGUUGCAGACAUUUUUUUAUUUUUCUUUCUUUUUGUUCAGUAUUUCUUUUGGUGCUUUCUACCUUUCAGUUCUUAAAAAAAUUCUCAGUACUUUUGUUUCUGGGUUUAAUAGGAUGGUCCUAUCAGGCAAUUAAACCUCCAACAUUAAGCAUCUGGAUCUCCAAAUGGGCCACCAGUGACAUCUGGAUCUCCAAAUGAGCUCGAGGAUAGCAGACAUUUGGCUUACACAAAGUGAGGUCCCGAUGGAAAAGACUAGUCAUAUCAUCAUUUUUCAUUCAUGACUUUGAUUCUCGCAAAUAUGAUGUGUUCCCAAGUUCACAGGCAUCAACUGCUUCUCAUAUGCAUCCUUUAUUCCAUGUCUCUCAAUGUCAGUGCCUUUCUUGACAUUGCAUGCCUUCUGCAGAACCUAACAAAAGAGUUAGGGUUUGUAUUCUGUCUUAUGAUAGAGCCGGCAGUGGAGAGAUUACCCUGACCUAAAUGUUAGAUAGUUUGGAACUUGCUGGUAGUUUGGAACUAUUGAAGUGGAUGGCCAUUAAGAAAAGAGGUUACCUGGCCAUCUUGGCUGCCUGAUGCAUCUUAAUUAGGUAUAUACCGAUUGAAUAAAUUAUAUAAGGACAUUUAUGUCAUUUUAGCUGCUGUAAUGUUAUUUUAUGAUUUGAAUAUAUUCUCCAUCAUUGUGUCUGGUGGAAACUAGACUUUGAUUAAAUGAUAAAUUGAUAACACUGGAGUAUUUACUUGUGCGAUCGUAAAAUGUUGUCUCCUUGGGUUCUCAUGUUUCCUGAGGUUUACAAGUUUCUAUAUCUGGUGGUUUUUUGUUGAUAGAUUUGUUUGAGAAGCGUUUCUGAAUGCAUUUUACCUUUGUUUUGCCUCAUCAUUGCUUGCAGUUGUACCUUUCUCGGAAGUAGCACAUAAGCACAAGGUUCCAUUGUUACUUGUCCACAUCCAUUUUUGCCCACAACGUUGUUCUCUUUGGUUGGAUGAGAUUUGCAGAUGGUGAGCUGAUAAUUGCUUCUGAGGGGCUGCCAAUUUCCCGACACAGAGGGAGGUCCACUCAAUUGCAUGGGUCAUGCCAGCCAAAUCUUGUGUUCCCAUGGUGCAGAUGAUGUUUACACCAAAUGCCCUUUUCUCUGUGAGGACCUGCUGUGCCCAUGGGGUGAGUCAGUUGAUUUUGUUUGUUAUUUUCAUAGCGAUUCGAGAGCAUUGACCUUGACAUUGAUUAUGUGAUAGAUAUUAUGUGAUAGUGACUUCGGAGGAGGCAAGUUGUCCACAGCUCCCAAGAUCAUCAAUUGCAGAAUUAUCACACCCUAAGCUGAUCCAUAGCAAUCGGUGUGGGGCCUUUUACUAUGAUGCGAUACAUAUCAACGUCUUACUAAUGCGUUCGAGCAUCAACAUGUUCCCCCUUUGUAGAUGGUGCAUGUAAUUCUUAGAUUGACAUCAGCAGAACUUAGCUGAGAUUCCCACCGUUGUCUUGUGUUAGUAUCGUAAUGAGCUGUUCUAGUGCUUUACUGUCGCUGUCACAGAUUGUGCUUUCUGUAAUCCGAAGUAAAUGGUGAAUUUAAUUCUAUUAAUUGGAGACAAUAUGAGCUUAGCCAAGAUUUCACACACUCGUCUAAUUAGAGUGGUGUGGUAUGUGUGAGCCACUCUUUCUUAACUGUUGAUGCUACGGCAAAUGCGCUGGUCAAUGAGUUUUGUAAAGCAAAUAUGGUUCCAUGUAUUCCAAGGCCAGGCUUCUUCAUCCAAUUGUUUGGCAAAGUUGCAGUUUCCCGGUCCUUCUAUUUCUCAUAACAGCUGCCCCGUACCCCGUGAAAACGUCGCUAUUAAUUUGGACUUCAAAGACAGAGGACCCAAAAGAAAAGAAAAAGACAGCACCACCAUCAGGUGGUGGCAUGGGGAUACAAGAGGCCAGGCGCAUCAACCACCGAGGAACCAACAGGUACUUCACGUUAUAUUAUCUGAUUUUUUUGAACCUUUCGGCGUAGCCAUGUAACAUAAGUAAAAUACUAAAUGAGGGUUGACGGCCAUAAGCAAAGCACAAAAUAGCAAACGUGGACUCAUUCACAGGUUCAAUAAUAAACCUCGACCCAGUGGGGUUUUUGUGGAACUCUUGAGCUGCGAUCCUUGAAUUUCUCCACUUCGCCUUUGCCAAAGAACCAGCAGCAGUCGCCUGGCUGGUACUUUAAAUCGAGAUGCCAAGUAUAUAUGAUGCACUCACUCCCCAUGGUCCUCUCGUCACCUCCCUCAGGAAUUCAAUUAAGACUAUAUAGGAGGACGGGAGUGGCAAAGGCGAAGGCAAACACAAAAAAUUCUCCUUAUCCACAGCUUUGAUGACUCUACAGGGACACCAACUAGUGAGACAGGGCAUACAGCAAGAUGCUGGUCUAAGUUCAUUGGUCCACAUGUAUCUUGGGGUAUAGUCUUUUCUCGACGCCACUUUGACAAGUAAUAUGAUCCCAUGCCAUGCUAGGUUGCUAAUCUCUCACUUCACCACUGUCUGGACAAGUAAAUAGAUCUUGAACAAAACCUAAAUAAUAAUAAUGAUACUAAUACAAAGGAAUUUGUCUGAACUGUUCCUCCCUGUUCCUCUAACAAAACAUAGUUUAGACGAAGAUAAAAAAAAAAAUCGUAAAUUAGAUAAAACUUUGAUAGUAGGACAGUGCAUAAUCAAGAUCCAGACAAAAAAAGGGAAAAAAAGUUUGGAUUGCCUAUACAGCCUGGGCUGCUUUUGCAAGACAAGAAGGAUAAGAGAAAAUAAAUAAGAGUAGGCGGGGGAAAAAAAAAAAAAAAAAAAAAAUCAUCACUCUGUUCUUUGAUUACUUUUACUUGAUGGUUAUCACCACCUCCAAGUAAUGAUUCAAACUACAUGUCAUACAGAUGUGUAUAAUCAAGAUCAGGGAAUAAAAAAUCAAAAAGAAAGGGAACAAGUUUGGAUUGCAUUUGCAACCUGGGCUGCUUUUGCAUGACAAGAAAGAUAAAGAGGAAAUAAGAGGAAAAGGCAAAAUGAAAGAGGAAAAAAAAGGGAAAAAAAAUCAUCAUUCUUUGUUUGUUUAUACUUUUCGUUUAUGAUUAUCGGCAACUUUUUGAUGGUCACAAUCUUCUCUUUGUUUUAGUCAUUCUAUCAUAGUUUAUCAAUGGAAAUAACAAUUCAAUCUUAAUUUGGUCAUCACUACUGUCAUGAAUAAUUAACAUAUUAUGUUAUUGUCUUUCAGUUUUACUCAUGCUUUAUAUAACAUAUAGAGGAUUUCUAAUAAGCUUGUGGAACUCAUUUUGAUUAAUUUUUUGACUAUUUUAGUCGUGUAAACGUAGAUGGAUGUAAUGUUUAUGUAUGUCAAUAUCUUUUAAUUUUCUAGCUCCGUAGAAUAGUGUGAAGUGUCAUCCAAUAUAACACACUUGAGCUACCCAAGUGGCACAUGGUUGGAUGGGCCUCUAGGGUAUUGUUUAGAGUUGGUUCGUUGCUUUGUUAUGUAGUAGUAGGAUCUAUUGGUUCUAACAAAUUAUCUUAAACAUUUUGUUAUACGAUCGUUUAAAGCUUGCAAAGUCUAUCUUUAUAAUUUGCAUUCUCUAUCAAAUGUUUGUUGAAAUAUCUACUUGUGAGAUAUCGAGUUAAAUAAUUCUUCUAAUCUGUCUUUUCUUUUAUAGAUUCUUAUAUUAUCAUAAAAGAUUUUUGAGACACUAUCCAUUUGUAGACAAACACACAAAGGUGUCGUACGACUUAGGAAAUAUGGCUAAGUUUAUGACAAUUUGUACCAAAGUGAGACAUACAUACUUAAAAACACUUGGUAUGCAAAUAUAGGGGACCUAGUGAGGUUGUAUUAAGGGUGGUCAGCAUAUGCAACCGUUUAAUAGAAACUAGUGUAGAGACAUAUGAAAACGAAUCGCUUAGAGGAGCGAAUAUCUGUGAUUGUCAUUCAAAGGAAUGGCCAACCCUUUGCGCGAGAGGCACCAUGAGGUCAAGUAACUUAGGAAGAAUGUGUAGCACACAAAGGUUGGAAUGGUUGAGUUUAAGCUACGACUCGAUGUUGGCAACCAAACUUAAUAGCGUUAAAGGCAAGCGAGAGCGUUUGGAAAAAGAUGAGAUCAUAUAAGGAGGGAUGAGUUGUUCGGUGACUUAAAGAGUUAUGUAAAUUGCAUAAAGGUAAGAGAAACUUCUAUAUCGAAAAAUUUGAUACUCAUGUAAGGGCUUAUAUACAGAUAAUGGAUUGUCCAUGACAAUCCCAAGGUGAUCAAAACUCGAUGCCAUGGAGCAUGAAAACUUUUUCUUUGACAUGGGAAUGAUACGUCUAUAGGAGAUUGAAGUGUGUAGUAGGUUCAACAAAUUGUUAGGCCUUAAGGGGGGCAAUAAAUGUUAUAUUAACAAAGAGUCAUAGUCUAGUAAGUGCAUUUGCGAUGGUGAAACAGUGCACAAUUUGUUCAGCAAGGUAGAGUAGUCCAAGAGGAUGAUGACCUUUGAAAUUUUUAGAGAGAAAGUUACUUCAACAAUAAAGAUAUAUAAGAGGAAUAUAUCUCAAUUCUCCAAAAGGAGAAUCAUAUGCAACAGACCGUAAAUGUUGAGUGGGCUACCCUAAGACAAUAGUUCCAUAAAGCUCAAUGGACUAAGUGAGUGACAAGGAGUCAUCGCAUGAUCUCAAUGGACUAAGUGAGUGACAAGGAGUCAUCGCAUGAUCUCAUAUGGACAUAUUACGAGAUCAAGUGGGGUGCUCCUGAGGUAAUAUCAAAUGAAUGCACACUUAGAGCUAAUAUGAAGAUCGAAUUCAAUGAAGGGUUGACUCGUGGAAUGGUGGGCACGAGGACCACCAUCAACUCAAUGCGAAUAGAAGAGUGGAAUAAUUUGGGUAAAACUCGAUGAAGUGCCCAAGACGUAUAAAGGGAGUCGACAUAAAAACCAAAAAAUUGAGUAGAGGCACAAAGCAUUUCUUGGUCAGAGGUCAAGGAUAUGAACUAUUAUAGAGGCAAGAGCAAGAUCAUAUCGUUCCAUAGGUCCCUUGUUCUGAUGGAACGAACUAAUCUUGCAUAGUUUUAAAGUCAAAGGGAGCUUUAAGGCCUAUGCAUCUUAUCUCAACAAAAUAGUUGAUAAAGGGACGGAAGCAAAGUUGGGGUCAGAAAACCUUAGCAUUGGGCAAGAGGAUGUGAAGACGAGUACUCUUGAAGAAUAUGUUGCAAUGUUACCAUUACCAUUUGAGUUACUGCAAAAGAAGUUAUAUGCAAUAGAGAUUAUGUUAGGGGUAAAAGCCCAAGAUCUAGAUAAUGGCACAUCAAUUUCAGUGAAGUCAAUGAAAUUCGAUAGUUAUUGGGUAAUAGACUAUCCUAAAGUUGCACUUCGUUCAUGUGUGACCCAAGAGCGAGUGGACGAAGAUCGAUUGUUAAAGGAGCAAACAGUAUCAGAAGUGGCAAAGGCUUUGCGAUGUGCUAACGGAGGCCACACAUAGAGAGAUUAUAGUCCAAAUUCAUCCCACAAAGAUCAAAAUACAUUAAAAAUGUCAUAAGAAGGUGACAUGAUACAAUAUAUCAUGAUGGAAUAGUUUUAAGGCAAUACGAUACACAUAGAAGAAGUCCGGUGAGUGGCUUAAUUAUAUAAAGGUGAACUUCACUUUAGUAAGCAACACAACAACAAGAAGAGUCAUAUAUUCAAGAAGUGAAUGACAUGGUACCGUAAAGGCGGGUCUUUCAUGUGUGUACUAAAUUUUACAUUUGAUGAAAGCCUUGGUUAUCAUAGAAGUAUGAUUUGAGUGGCUGGAGAGUUGGGACUACUCUAAAGCUCAUAUUCGCUAGAGAGCCCAAUAAGUCAAAGGAAAAGGCUGAGCGAAUGAAUAUUACUACCAAUGAUGCAAAGGAGAAUAGAAUCGACGCAAGCCCUACAACAUGAUAUAGAGGUUAUGCAUGAGAGUUACAGUCUAUUAUUUUAUCAUCCAAGGGAAACUACUCAAAUAACACAAAGGUGUUGAAACAAGUAGUCGAAAAGGGCAAGGAGGCAAUGACGAGUCCAAAGGGACUUAGCUACCCAAAACCAAGCGUUAAUUAGAUAAAGGGGGACUUGGAAGAGUAUCAUAGUGCCACAAAAAUGGAUCUACCAAUCACGAAGAAAGGGAUACAAAUACGAGGUGAUAGAUAGUAAAGCUAUGGGCAUAACAGCAUCAUGAUAUCGUAAAGGUAGGACUUUCGUGGAGUCAUCGAUCCUUUGCUCUCAUGGAAGGAGAGCGCAUGGUUGUAAAAGAGGGCUAAGGAGGUAAAAACUUUAAGUACCGAUAAGAUAGAAGGGCAAAGGUUAUGGAACUUCAUAAGACCAAUAUUGACAAGCUUCUCAUCAAGAUAACUGAAAAUGAGGAACUUUUGGUUGAUACAAUAUUACUUGACUAAAGAAUGGAAUAGAUAGUACGUGAUCUUGUACAUUUUCUAAUUAGAGGAGUAAGUGAUAGAAAUGAUAGAGAAGAUGAUAUAAUCCUAGAGAUGACCAAAACAAUAGGAGAUUUUCUUUAAGCCGGGGUAAAAUUUUACUCUUUUCGGGCAAAACUUCUUAUAUUUUUAAAGUUCAAUGGAAAUAAGGAGGUGAAUCAUAGUAGUUAACACAAUGCAAGGAGUAUAAAUACCUUGGGUGCUUUAGAAAUAUGAGCAAAAGACAAGCAAAGUUAGUAAUUAGCUUGAUGCAUGAAGUAUAACCCUCGAGAAGGUGAGUGAAGUCAAGUAACAUUUGUCUUCUUAACUCUUAAGAGAAUGGGUAAAAAUCAAGUAUCUCAAUUAACUUAUUUAUCUAACAAAGAAGCUUUACACAUAUUCAAAGACCCUUCAUAGAGACUUGGUGGAAGAUAACAAUUGUCAAAUCUUCACUAAUGGUGAUUAUAUCUAUUGAGAGUCGAUUGUCUAUUUCAUUUCCCAAUAAAAUACUAAUCGAAAGCAGAAGUAAUGCUAACCUACUUGAUGUGACAACUAAGCAAAAGAAAAAUCAAUCAAUAAAUUUUACAAGGCGAUGCUAGUUAAAGCUCUAAUAGGCAUCCACCUAACUCAAGCGACAUGAGAUGCUUGAGAGAUUGAUGUAUAACAAUAAAGGUCUUUUCCUUCAUCCGAGGGAUCUGUAGGAACAAAUAAAAAACAACACAACUUGAUUGACCCCACACCAGAGUCUGAGUUACUAACAAGUUGAAGCAAUGUUGGUGGAUUAAAAUUUGACCCUACAAUGAUAAUGGAGAGCAAUUGAAAGCCAAGAGAGAUGCAUUAUAGCUAUUACGAUAAGAUGUCAUUAACGUCUUGGUUAGCUUGAUGUGGUCCAGACCCAUGUGCGCAAGAUUAUCCAAGAUGGCUUCAGGGUGAAAACGUCAUGCUCCUGAGGUGCCACAUAUACGAAGAUCAAAAUCGAGAGAGAUUUCUUGACUCGAUCCCUUUGACACCCAAGUCAGUGAUAUAAGAUAGGUGACUGUAGACGCGAGUGAUUAAAGAGUAACGUCCCUAUUUUAUUAUGUUGAAGAUAAGCUUUUAUACCUGGUUGUAAAGGGACAUAAUAUUCUAGGACAUAUUGUAUGGGAAUGUAGCCUCUAACCACCUCUACCAAUUUUCUCUUAACAUUUUAUCUACAUGGGUGACAAGGGAGGAUAGCCUACAACCACCUGCCUUGGACCCUUGUCCACGUGGGCAAACAAAUGGAGGGUAGCCUUCAUCUUCUCAUUCUAGUUUAGAUACCACGUGGAGGUUACGUGUCGGAUAAUGAUUGGCUAACGAUGUUUUCCCUCGCAACUAAAGUAUAAGAUUAAAGAUUCAACAAAGACAAAGAGAUACAACAUCUACAAAGACUUCGACAAGAACACUGAAAGAAUAAGUGAGGAAGAAUGUCAUGGACAAAGAUAUACAUAAGAUGUUUGAUAUAAUGUUUGUGUAUAUUCGUAAAUUUCGAUUUUGUUCAACGGCUUAUAGUAGGCUUAGUAACCCCAUUUUAAUUGGCUUUUGUGACCAUUUUAUCCUAUAAAUGCAAGUUAUAAGAAAUCAUCACGUAGAUGUAAAAUUACCUAAAACUAGAUUAUCCAAAUAAUCAUUUUGGAGGUUUUCUAACUCCGUAGAGUGGUGCGAAGUAUUAACUAGUACAAUACACUAGAGCUACCAUGUGACACAUGAUUAGAUAGACCUUUGGGGUAUUAUCUAGGGUUGUUUACUAUCUUAUGUUGUAGUAGCGUCAUGUGAGCACUUAUAAGGACUUUUGAUCUCAGCGAACCACCUUGGACCUUGUGACGUGCGAUCAUUCAGAGCUUACGAAGUUUAUAUUUAUAAUUUAUAUUACCUAUCAAGUAUUUUGCUAAAAUGUGUGCUUGUGAAAUCCUGAGUAAAACAUUUCUUUUAAUUUGUUUCUCUUUUUAAUAUUUUUAUGGGAUCAUAAAAGGUUUCAGGGGGACUAACCCUUUACGGAUGAACACGUAAGGAUAUUGUACAACUUAAACAAAACUAACUAAAUCCAUAAGAUUUAAUUAAAAAUAUAUUUAAAAUAAAUUAUGAAUAUAAUAAUAUAAAAAUAUCAAAAUAUAUGAAAAAUAAAAAUCAGGGUUUAUAAGGGAAAAGACAGAAACUUUCAGUGUCUCCAAGGAGACGUAUGGAUGUGUUGCAUGAUACAGCAAUCCUGAAUCUAAAUUUUUCUAUGGCAAGCUUAACCAAGUAACGUCUUGAAAUGUUUAGGUAAAGUUGAACUCAUAAAUAACAAUGCAACUAUUUUUCCUUGCACCAAAAAUAAAUGAAAAUGUUAUCAGGAAGUAUGACAAAGAACAAAAAAAAGGAAGUGAAAGUUAGAAGAUUGACACCCAACACCACUCUCAACUGAAUAAACUUAGAAUCACUUAAAUACCCGAAUCAAUGUCAGCAACACAUUUAAACUGCUGCAGAAACAUCAAGAUUUGUCGAUCCUGUAUUCAAGACACUUGCGCAUUAUCCGGCCUACUGUAUCAACUUAUUGGAUGUGUUGUUAUUAAUUUUUCAGCUUACUAAAAUUAUUCACAGCGUUUAGCAUCACAUUGAGAUUAAAAAAUAAAAGAAAAUUACCAUAUUAAUUUGCGCUAAAUUUUUGAAAACUAAUCCAUUGACUUGUUCUAUUCUUCUAUAUCAAACACAAAAAGAAAAGGCAGAGCAAAUGACUGAAAAUAUGAAUACGGAGAAGCUAGUUUCUCGUGAUUCAGUUAGGUAAUACCGCAGAUAGGAUUCAACACUUGAACAAGAUUUCAGAUUGCUACCAAAAGCUCUUCUGACAAAACUGAUACAGUCAGUAUAUGAUACAGAAGUAGGAUCAAACUAAAGAUAAAGAGAAGAGACUUAAUUCACUUAAAUUAAGAACUUAUGAUUAAAUAAGGAUUGGAAUUUUAAGGAAGAAAAUAUCCUACUAUCCUUCCCUCUCAAGCAGCUGGUGACGGGGAAGGAAGAGAUGUGGCCAACAAGAGAUGAAGUGCGUCACGCUAGUUUAAUCUCAUAUCAAAAGUGGGAGGAUGCUUUAAUUGGUUUAUAGGGGCUUGAUGGUAUACAAUCAAUUUGGGCUCAAGCCGUUUUGCUCAUGUGAUUCUAGAUCUAUCAAGUAAAUGAGUCAAUUAUCUCAUCAAGUUGAUUUCAUUACAAUUAUAUAUAAGUUACCUUAGUUUAGUCCCAUAAUAGUCAUCUCUGAUGGGAUGAUUUAAUCAUUAACUUCGUUAUCAAAAUAUUUAAAAUGAUAGAUUAACAUAUCCUUUGAUGAUUGGAUAACUGAUUCAUUAGGUUUAUUGAGCCUAAACUACUAGAUCAAAAUAUUUAAAUUUGGGUUAGCGAUACCAUACCCAUUAGACCUUUAUAAAUAAAUUUAAUAUUUUAUCAACACUACCAAACUGAAAGAAUAAAUGCACAUCCAAACUAAGUCGAAAAGGGCUAUUCAUCCAAGACUAAAUGCACAUCGUAGCUUGAAGCCACAACACCGCAAGUUUAGUCCAUGGGAAGAGACUUGAAUUGUUAAAAAUGUAAGUGACGCGAGAUUGGCAAGGUAAAUGAUCCUACAUAAGCAAAGAGCCUGACAAAGCACCAACGCAAAAGAAAACUCGGAUUAGAGAAUCGACGGAUCGAAGAUAGAGCAGAAGCUUUACCGAUACCCAAAUCCAAGAAACCCAGGACAAGAUCCAGAGAAACUAUGAAGAAAAGAAUGAACAAGAAGGCAACAUAACAGUUGGGGUUAGAGAAUCGAUGGAUCGAAUACCGAGCAGAAACGUCGCCGAGAUUGCUCCGUGGUGCAAUUGAUCGUUCAAGAACGAGGAUGCCUGAGCGGAUGGCGGAGAGACCUAGAAGGAUUCUGAGCGAUCGAGGGCGGAAAGCCGAAAGCGAGCAAAGAACAAGCCCUAAUCUACACAAGUGGAGGAGGAGGAGGAGGAAUGCCAUCGCCCGAAACCGACGGGGAUGGGAUUGGUGAGCGAGAGCGAGAAAGCGGGCCUUUUAUAGCUACGAUUGCGAGCGGGGCUGUUACGAUCCCAACGGCGAAGAGCUUAUUUGAGACGCGGCGAUCUCCGUGCAGUCUAUCCGUUAUAAACCAUGUUGGCGAGAUGACGUAACAGCAAAUCGGGU